AAAGGGAGAGACUUAUUAGACCUGCUGAAAACACCGCAGAAAGGCGCUUUGUGGAUUGAUUCAGCAUUGAGAGAUCCAAGCUGAGUAUCCACAAACACCUUAACAACGUCGAAAGUAGCCUACUUUAAGAGGAAAUAUGCAGAAGAAGAAGAUUUACAUCAAGAUUACCAGGGGUAUUUUCCAAAACACCUGAUAUUACCUGAAGAUCGAACGUGUAUUCUGAAACUAUCUCUGCAGAAGCUUCAGUUUCUUGAAGAUCCCGAGGUCUAUCUCCGCCGGUCGGUGUUGAUCAACAACUUGCUGCGGAAGAUUCACCUGGAGACGGAGCGCGAACGCUAUGAAUACUUUAAAGGAACCCCGUGCUGUAGGACUGCCUACUCUGAUACGAGAAAACGGCUGAAGUUCAUGGUACAAGAAUGCCGCGCGCAAUCCCUUUAUUACGAAGAGCUCCAUUCGUAUCAUCUUGUGCCUUAUCCGACGGAGAAUGCCAUUUAUGGAAUGGGCUACUCAAGCAGUCAUUUGGAGCAAAAUCCA
This is a long non-coding RNA of Euleptes europaea (tarantolino), 534 nucleotides long. RefSeq lists it as uncharacterized. The transcript is spliced from 3 exons. The record is from RefSeq and is a predicted model, not a curated record. NCBI's taxonomy places the organism in Eukaryota, Metazoa, Chordata, Lepidosauria, Squamata, Sphaerodactylidae.